GAGUUAUCUGAACCUUCGGGGGACGAUAACGGCGUCGAGCGGCGGACGGGUGAGUAAUGCCUAGGAAAUUGCCCUGAUGUGGGGGAUAACCAUUGGAAACGAUGGCUAAUACCGCAUGAUGCCUACGGGCCAAAGAGGGGGACCUUCGGGCCUCUCGCGUCAGGAUAUGCCUAGGUGGGAUUAGCUAGUUGGUGAGGUAAGGGCUCACCAAGGCGACGAUCCCUAGCUGGUCUGAGAGGAUGAUCAGCCACACUGGAACUGAGACACGGUCCAGACUCCUACGGGAGGCAGCAGUGGGGAAUAUUGCACAAUGGGCGCAAGCCUGAUGCAGCCAUGCCGCGUGUGUGAAGAAGGCCUUCGGGUUGUAAAGCACUUUCAGUCGUGAGGAAGGCAGUGUAGUUAAUAGCUGCAUUAUUUGACGUUAGCGACAGAAGAAGCACCGGCUAACUCCGUGCCAGCAGCCGCGGUAAUACGGAGGGUGCGAGCGUUAAUCGGAAUUACUGGGCGUAAAGCGCAUGCAGGUGGUUUGUUAAGUCAGAUGUGAAAGCCCGGGGCUCAACCUCGGAAUUGCAUUUGAAACUGGCAGACUAGAGUACUGUAGAGGGGGGUAGAAUUUCAGGUGUAGCGGUGAAAUGCGUAGAGAUCUGAAGGAAUACCGGUGGCGAAGGCGGCCCCCUGGACAGAUACUGACACUCAGAUGCGAAAGCGUGGGGAGCAAACAGGAUUAGAUACCCUGGUAGUCCACGCCGUAAACGAUGUCUACUUGGAGGUUGUGGCCUUGAGCCGUGGCUUUCGGAGCUAACGCGUUAAGUAGACCGCCUGGGGAGUACGGUCGCAAGAUUAAAACUCAAAUGAAUUGACGGGGGCCCGCACAAGCGGUGGAGCAUGUGGUUUAAUUCGAUGCAACGCGAAGAACCUUACCUACUCUUGACAUCCAGAGAACUUUCCAGAGAUGGAUUGGUGCCUUCGGGAACUCUGAGACAGGUGCUGCAUGGCUGUCGUCAGCUCGUGUUGUGAAAUGUUGGGUUAAGUCCCGCAACGAGCGCAACCCUUAUCCUUGUUUGCCAGCGAGUAAUGUCGGGAACUCCAGGGAGACUGCCGGUGAUAAACCGGAGGAAGGUGGGGACGACGUCAAGUCAUCAUGGCCCUUACGAGUAGGGCUACACACGUGCUACAAUGGCGCAUACAGAGGGCAGCCAACUUGCGAAAGUGAGCGAAUCCCAAAAAGUGCGUCGUAGUCCGGAUUGGAGUCUGCAACUCGACUC
RNAcentral lists this ribosomal RNA (1265 nucleotides) under Vibrio parahaemolyticus. RNAcentral's name for it is "bacterial SSU rRNA". It matches the Rfam family "Bacterial small subunit ribosomal RNA", at positions 64 to 1318 of the family's 1533-position model. Lineage: Bacteria; Pseudomonadati; Pseudomonadota; Gammaproteobacteria; Vibrionales; Vibrionaceae. The record is from RNAcentral.